RNAcentral lists this long non-coding RNA (30191 nucleotides) under Gossypium barbadense (sea-island cotton). Its description in RNAcentral is "long non-coding RNA (GBAR_LNC001079)". Lineage: Eukaryota; Viridiplantae; Streptophyta; Magnoliopsida; Malvales; Malvaceae. The record is from RNAcentral.
GAAGUUCUAGAUUGAGUUGUUGAGAUGUAAUGCACUUUGACAAACUGAUGAUUUUCAAUUGAAACUUUGGGACUGAGGUAUAAAAGGAAGGUUGCAUUACCAUCUUGUUUUCAUCACCCAAAAGGACUUUGAGGUUUGAAAGGUUUGCAAAUGGUGCGAAUGACAGUGGAAUUUGAAAAUGGUUUCCUGAAAUAUAUAACUCACGAAGAGAUGUCAAGUUACUAAAACAAUGAGGAAGCAUCCCCUCAAGAGCAUUCCAACUCACAUCCAAUACUUCAAGGUUCCUUAGAUCACACCAUCCUGAAAAUUUUAUAAAUUCAUUGAAGAUAUUGUAAUUAAAAAAAGAAAAUGAAAUAUUAGAUAAAUAAAUCUCACAAAGAAUUCGAUUUUCUAGAAGUUAUAUUUGAAAAUUUAUGGAGUCAUAAUUUGUGCCUUAAAUUAGUUUACCUUGAUCAGGUAAGGAACCAAUAAGUUGACAGUGGGGUAAAGACAGAGUUUUAAGAGAACUGAAUACUCCAAUGCCAUGUAAAAUGUUGGUGUUGAGACCAGAAAAGUCAAAAUAUAAUUCCUCCACAUUGCUCGACACAUUUAAUUCUAAAGGAUGAGAAGAGGUAUUCGAUGUUAAUCAAACGUAAUCUGUUUUGGAAAAGAAAAUAAUAACUUUCACUUACCUUGAGUAGUCAGAGUCAUGUUCAGAUAACUCUCUUGUAGAUAAAAGGUUUUAACUGAUGAAAAAACCACCACUAAAUUUUGUAAUGGAAUGCUUCCAUAGGUGAAAACGUGAUCAAGGUAAACAACUUUCAAAUUCUUCAAUCCCUUAUUUUCUGUAAGUGAAAGAAAUAUACUUAUUCAAACAAAAUACACAAAUAUUUGAAAAUUGCGAUACUUGAAUUCCUAAUCAUAGUACAAAUGCCUUAAUUGCCAUCUCCCACUUCAAUUUUCACCAAACCUAUAUUAUUACUAUCUUCAACUUCAAUUUUAUUUUCAAAGGAUUGAAGCUAAACCUCUCAAUUAAAAUAUAAAACAAUUACCAUUAUUAUAAAAUCUGAGAAUUUAAACUAAAUACUGAAUAGAAAAAGUUUAAUUAAAUGAUACCUUUGUGGAUCACAAAAUCUUUCAAUUCAUUAUAGCUCAUAUCUAGUUCCCUUAAAUUAAUAAAUGCAUCCAAAUCUGGAAAAAGAAAAAAUAACAAAUAAACUUCAUUAUAUCGUCUUAACAGAGUCAAAAUUUUAGCAUCAAAAAACUAAUAAUUUUACCUUUCGUAUCUAUUGAUCCUUUCAAUUGAUUGCCACUUAUGCUCAAAUAUUUCAAAUUUGAAAGCUUGUUAAGGGAUGCAAAUACACUGCUAUUGAAGAGAUUUCGAUCUAAAUUAAGCUCUUCUAAGUGGGUCAACUUGAAUUUUCUCCCACCAUCUACAAAAGAUUUACAUAAUUUCAUCACUAAAAAAGAUUAAUUAUAUGUAAGAACUUAGCUAAGUCAUCAAAUAUAAAUGCAUACCUUUGAAGGAUUGAAAGCUUUCAAUUUGAUUCUCUCUUAAAUCAAGUUUCUUCAAGUUUGUCAAAUUAUUCAAUCCUAUAUGUGUCCAAGUUCAAUUCAAAUAAGCAUUUUGUUAGUAAUUUUAAAAUCUAAUAAAAAACUGAAAAAGUAAGCCUAAAGUUUUAAAUGAAGAUUAAAAAUCCCUAAAUGGGGUGCUGAUGUGCUUGACAAAGGGAUUUGCAAAAGUUGGUGGCCAUUAAACAUGUCUUGGUAAAUUUGUGAUGCGGUGUGUUUGUGAACAAUAAAGUCUCAUUGUUGAGUCGAAUUCUGUUACUAAAAUCAAAUUGAUUUUAAAGUUAAAAAGAAACAGGUAAAAUCAGUCUACCUUGAAUAUGAAACAGCCUUCCUUCCAACUGAUUAUUGCUCAAACUUAAAGUCUUCAAGGAUGAAAGAUUUCUCAUAUGGGAAAAAACGUUAUUCUUCAAAAAAUUCCCAGUUAAAAUAAGAGUUUCCAAUUUGGUGAGUCUUGAAAGCCAUUGGAAACCUGAUAUAUAUUAAAUUACUUGUUAAUUGUUUUUGCUUUCUCAGCUAUAUGGAAAUUUUACUAAAGCAAAAGCAGAGUUACAUUACAGGGGAUAAAAAGAAUUGAAAACCACUGUCAAACGCCACAAUACAAAUAAAAACUAACACCGGGACAUACUUAAAUUACCUCUUGAAUGACUUGAUCCUUCAAUUCGAUUGUAUGAUAGAUAUAAAUAUCGAAGAGAUGAAAGCUCACUCAGAGAUAGCAGAAUGCUAUCAUUCAAGUAAUUGUAACUUAAGUCAAGCAUCUCCAAAUUAUUCAAUGUGGAUGAUAGCUUUCCAAAACCUGCAAGAGUGUUCUUUUAAAUAUAAACAAUGGGUUAGUGGUUUUUCUUCAAUAAAACAAAAUAAAUAAUAAGUAAUUGUAAAAUAACAGUGAGUACUUAUGUUGGAAACUUGUACGUAGUAGAAUAAUAAUAUAUGAAAUUAAGAGUAAAUUAAACGCACGACCUUCAUUUUCAACACUACCAGCUAUGGCAUUUCCUGAUAAAUCAAGACUCUUCAAUUCCACAAAGGGAAGAAACAAAGAGGCACUGAGAUAUCGAUCUUUUAAUUUUUCUCCCAGAAACCAUCCUUCAGAAUGAAGGGAGAGUCCUAUGAGUCGCUUAGUGGUGGUGUUGCACUCAACACCUUUCCAUUCACAACAAUCUAAAUUCUUCACUUCAUCCCAACUGCUCAGAUCAUUAUAAUGAUUAUUGAAGAAAGGUUUGAGAUGCAAGAGAGCAAUUCUUUCCUGCUCCAAACAAGCAUUAGUAGUGCACCACCUGCAUCCUUCUAACAGCAGCAACGCACUCAUCACCGCCAUCCUCAUAAACCACACCCAUUUGGACUCCAUCAUCUCUCUCUUUUCACUUCUCUGUCAACUCUAUGCUACUUUUAACUUCUAUAUGAAUAUAAUUUGAAGAAGCCUUGAUCAAAACUUCCUUAUUUAUAUACCAGCAGGGCCUAUGACCUCCCCACUAAUUCUCAGUCAUACAAAAUAAUAUAUAAUAAAUUGCAUUCCCUUUGCUUGAUCAAUUCUUGACUUUGGGUCAACUCUUAGCUUAAAUACAUGGCUAAAUUUAUUUUAGGUUAUACAAAAUAAAUGGAGCAAUGUGAGGAGAUAAGUUCCAAGUUCAAUCAAUUAAAAAAAAAAAGAAAAGAAAAGUGUAAGGGAACAUAAAAUCAUGUAGUUGGGGUUAUAAAAUUCAUGUGGCUUUCUUGUGAAUUUCAUUUAUGCCUUUCUUACACUUAUACAAAGUUAGUCUUGACUUCGCUUUAUUAAUGGAAAUUUUAGGUCUUCAUUUUUUUUUUAUUCAUAGACAUAAUAUUUUUUUAUUAUUUAUGUUUGUUUUAUGACCUAUGUUUGAGGUUUAUGGAUUUUCGCUUUCAACAAUGUCAUCUCAACCGUUCAAACAUACACUUGCAGGUAAAAUAAUACUUUUUAAAAUCACAAAUAUUUAUAUUUCUAUGCAUAAAUUACAAUAUAUAAAAUAUAAAUGCUUUCUUGCUUAAGAUACUAAUAAAGUAAUUAACAAAGUAAUUAUUAUACCUAUAAUUAUUCAAAAUGCCACUUGUUAUCUAAUAAAGUAGGGUGCAAAUGAGACAUCCGUACCCGCAAGCUAUUCGAAUUCGACUCAAAAAAUUUUAAACUUGAUUCAGUAAUUAUUGAGCCGAGGCUGAGCAACUCGAGCUAUAGGUCGGUCCGAAUUCUAGCUUAGUAAUACUUGACUCGAAUAGUUCAAGAACCUUAUCGAACUUUUCAUAUUUUUAUAUUCUUAAAUUAUAUUAUUGCCCUUAAUAUAUAUUAUUAACCCUAAGUUUAAUUAUUGAGGCGAGCUCGAGCUCGAGUACAAAAUUGAUAAACGAAUUUAAUUUUGAGCUUAAAAAUAUAUGUUCAAUCAAGAUUGAAGUGAGUAUCAAGCUUUAAAUUUCAAAUCAAACUUAAACUUAAUAGUAUUUGAGCUCAAAUCAAUUCAAUUACACCCUACAAUAAAAUAUACCAACAAAACCUACAUUCCAUAUUUGCUUAAAAACUUUGCUAUAAAUUUUAUAUAUGUGUGUGUUUAACGUGACUUCUUUGUGAGUUCCAUAUAUGUCCAACUUGAUGACUAUGAAAGUUCCUAUGGUGUAAAAAGUUUUAGUUAUGUGGAAAAAUAAGCUUUUUUAUUCACACGUUUAAUAUGCUUACUUGUGACGGUCAUUUCGGGCUUGACAUCAAUUUUCAAAAAGUUGUAAUUGGUGGAAAACUUAGGUCUUUUCACUCGCUUUUAUGAUUCUUUUUACAUGAUAUUACAAUAUAAAAUAGUGAAAUUAAAAUUAAUUGAAAUACUGACAAAUUUGAACCCAUGUAAGUCUAGGCAUAAAUUUCACUACUGAUCUAAUUUCUUGAUAUUUAAUUAAUUAACAUAUAUACUUUCAAUUAUAAGAAUUGAAACAUAACUUUCAAGUCAAUUGGAUUAUGCCCCUCUUACACUUCAAAAGAAGUAGAUUUUGAACUCAACAUGAACCUGUGAGAUUUCAUACCUAAAAUAUAGGUAUAAGGUUUCAAUUCAUGGAAAUGUUGGAAGUCUUGGAAAUUUCUUAGUCUCCUUUCUUUGGAUGUUUUUGAACAAAAAUGUUUUAAGUCUUUUUCGAUGCUAAACUUCUGAUUGGUCGUCGGUUCACUGACCCUUUGGUUCAAAGCAAUAUGAAGCAUUGGCCAUUCAAGGCCAUUGCUGGUCCUGGUGAUAAGCCAAGGAUUGUACUACUACAGAUUUGAAUAUUUGUACACAUUAGAUCGGCUCUUUGUAAAUUUAAAUCUUCUAAUUCGGAUAAUAUUCGAAUUUAAAUAUUUUAAUUACUAUCCGCAAUAGAUUAAAAACAAAUCAAUCCUUGGAUAUCCACAUACAGAUUAUGCAAUACAGAUUGACCACCUUAUAUCUAUGUAUGCUACUACAAAACUUGCACCAUUAAAAUCUCAAGCUGGUAAUUGGAGCUUCAUAUUGUUCUCCCAGCUGCAGGCAUAAUAAUCAAAUAAGUUGCAAUCAUUAACAUAGGUAUGAAGUGCUUUCCAGAGUGUGAGAAAGGGGGGUUACCUCUGGAAGUAAUAGUAGUAGAAAUCAGCAUAAAGCAAUGUCUGGACAAGACCGCAAAUCCAAGCUGAAAGGCAGCAAUCAUGUAAACAAGGUGUUAGAAAUAACACAUAUUGCAUAGAAUAUAACAACUGUGUUUGCGAAAAGCUUUCAUCUCUACUUAAUUGUCCAAACCGAUCCAUAUGAACUUGAUGCAUGUGAAACCUGCAUCUAAAAUUAAUUGUUAAAAAUCUCCAUUAUAUAGGGAAAAAAAGCAUCACAGAAGCUACAGUAAUUCCAAUUUAGCAUUAAUAAUGAAUAGCCACGUUUAGAAGAUGGCCUUUGCACAAAAAAAGUAAAGCAAUGAGGAGACCUUUCAGCAAUUGGUGACUGUAACCACAAUGUAAUCCCGCAGAGCAAAUAAGCAAAAAGAAAAGGAAUCUAUUGGGCAUUAGGAAAUUUAUCAGAUCACUCCAUAAAAUUUUGGACACGAUUAUAUUUCACAUGGGAAAAAAAUAACCUAAGAUACUACAAGUUCUAUGGUGGAGUUUUGUUGAAGUUGGCCUGCAUGCAACACAUGUAGCACAUGAAGCAGCCAAAAAAAGCAGAACAAGCUGCUCGAGCAAUGUAUGUUGCAGUUGAAGCCAAUGUUGCUGAUUUAGUUACUUCAAAUUGAUGUUUUGUAACUUAGUUUUAAUAGAACUAGGUUGGUAAUGUACCUUUGUUGACAUUUGAGCUGAUAAAUCAGCUUUACCAAGUGUGCAAGUAUAGGCUAUCAAGUUUCAAUGUAAUUAGUGGAGUUAAGUAAGAGUUUAGGUGAAAUUUGCUUAUUUUAAUCAGCUUAUAUCUGGUAUAUAUAUUGGCAUUAUGCCAUUCUUGAAGGUUAAUGAGAAAUACACAACUUCUUAUUCAUUUUUCUGGUUCAUCGCUCAAGCAUUUUUUUUCUUUUCUAAAGUCUUUAGUCCGAUUCUGCUUUGUUUGCUCAGUAAGACAUUGAGCCUUCAAGCUCAAGUCUCUAUUAAACUCAUUCAAACUAAUUUUCUAAGUUCCAACAAUUGGUAUCAGAGUAGUAUUCUUAGUGACCUGUCAUAUUUUUCAACCAUUAAAGCCAUGUUUUCAUCCGGAUUCUCUCCAGCAGCACCACCAGUCUUCAAUGGUGAAGGUUACCACAUAUGGGUGGUCAAAAUGAAGACCUACCUGCAAGCAUUCGAUUUGUGGGAGGUGGUCAACUCAGAUGUUGAACCAGUACCUCUGAGAGUCAAUCCAACAGUGGCUUAGAUCAUGCAGCAUGCUGAUGAAAGAACCAAAAGGCAUAAAAUUAUGUCUUGCAUUCAAAACAGUGUGUCAGAUGUGAUAUUCAUAAGGAUUAUGGCUUGUGAACCACCAAAGCAGGUUUGGGACAAGCUGAAGGAGGAGUUCCUAGGGAUUGAAAAAACAAGGCAGCAACAGCUACUGAAUUUGAGAAGAGAUUUUGAAAACUUGAAAAUGAAGGAGGAAGAAACUAUCAAGCAGUACUUAGACAGAAUCAUGGUUGUGGUAAACAGCAUAAGACUACUUGAAGAACAGUUCAGUGAAGUAAGAAUUAUGGAAAAAGUGAUCUCAACCUUACCUGAGAGGUAUGAGGCAAAGAUAUCAUCCCUUGAAGACUCGAGGGACCUGACCAGCAUCUCAUUGACAGAGCUGAUUAAUGCUAUUUAUACUCAAGAGCAAAGGAGAGCUAGUAGACUGGAAGAGCACCAAGAAGGUGCCUUCCAAGCCAAAACCAGACCAGCCUCAAGUUCCUUUGCCUACAAAGGCAAGAAAUCCUGGAAAGACAAGCCUAAGUCAAAUGGUGCAAGAAGAAGAGAUCAACCUUGCAGACAUUGCAAAAGGCCUGGUCAUUUAGAGGCAAAUUGUUUGUAACACCCCCUAGCCGUAUCCAUUGCCGAAAUAGGGUACGAGGCAUUACCAGAGUUUACUGAACAUUUUUAGAUAAUUCUGAGUCAUUUAUUAUUAAUAUUUUGAAAAUGAUCAUAACGUCUCUCUAUUGGGCCUACGAAGUCCCAAAAAUACAUUAGAAACCAACCGAAAUUAAAUCUGGAUCAUCAAAGAAAAAAUUUCACAAAAUCUUAAAUUUUAUUUUCAUCUAAGUACUUACUAUUUCAAUGCUCCUUAUAAUUAAUCAUGUUACCAUUCAAUCAAUAGCUUGACACUUGACUAAGCGUCAAACAACAUCAUUAUUAGUAUACUUGCACAUAUUUCAUCUAAAUUCAACAUUGAUAUACUUAUUUUCUCGACAUAUCGCACUUGAGUUUAAUAAUAGUCUCAACUUUCGUAAUUUCCUUGUAUCAAUAUAUCAAAGAUAAUCAUAUAUGUACAUGUCAUGAAACAUACCAUUCUCUUACCGUUUCUUCAUAAACAUAUAUCAUUCAUUUCAUUAUAUCAAUAUUCAUGCUCCAUCAUUUCCAUAUAUUUUAUGUAUAUUUAUUCCGAUAAUAUUUAUAUCAAACUUAAGAUAAAUUAUAUUCCAUGUACUUAUACUUAUUUCGUUUAUCUAUCUUCAUAAUUAUUUCAUACAACUAUUUUGUACAUAUAUUUCCAUAUGACCAGUUCUUGUAAACAUUUCACACAACCAUUUCAUGUAACCAUUCGUCAUCUAAUACAUAUUACCUGAAUAUCAAUUGUUUAAUAGAUAUCAUAGCGUCUCCCAUCCACGGUCUUAUUUAUCUUUGACAUGAUGCCAUAGUGUCUUUCAACUAUGGUCUUACUCAUUUUUUGUCAUGUUGCCAUGGUAUCUUUCAACCAUGGUCUUAUUCUUUUCAUGUCACGUUGCCAUGGUAUCUUUCAACCAUGGUCUUACACAUUUCAUAUCAGGUUGCCAUGGUAUCUUUCAACCAUGGUCUUACACAUUUCAUAUCAGGUUGCCAUGGUAUCUUUCAACCAUGGUCUUACACAUUCCCGCGAACCUCACCUUUACAGUGGGAUUACCAGUCCAGGCUAAAUCCCCUGUAAUAUAAACUCAUAGAGUAUUGUCGAGAUUACCAGUCCAGGCUAAAUCCCCUGCAACGAUAAUUACUCUAAUGAGCUUGGAUCUGAAUUACCAGUCCAGGCUAAAUUCAGACCCUAAUUCGGAUUACUCGUCCGGGCUAAAUCCAUUUUCCACAUAUUCUUCGGGAGGGCUAUAUCAGGAUAGGAUCAUCCGUCCGGGCUAGAUCCUUUUCACCGUCAAUUCCUUCUCAGAGAUCCAUCAAAAUUUCCUUUCAUUCAACUGGGAUUUCUUCCUCUUUUAUCAAAUAUAUCAAUGUUUCAUCAAUUUUCAUACAAUGAACAUUCAAAUCAUAUUCACAUUAAUAAUAUACAUUUCAAGCAUUUAAGUUACACGAACUUACCUCAUUGCUUGUUUGUGUUUAUAAUUUCAUUAAUCCGAUAUCUUUUCUUUUCCACGAUCAAGUCUCGUAUUUGAGUCGUUUGAAUCUUUAUAAAUAAAUUUGAUCAUCAUUUUCAUUCAUUUCAUAUUCUAAUGCAUUUAAUUAAUGCUCUAGGAAAAGUUACCAUUUUGCCCCUAAACUUUUAAUUAAUGACGAUUUCAUCCUUAGGGGCAGGAAAAUAAAAUUCUUGCAAUUUAAUACUUAUUUCCAGCUAUUAUUCUUAUACAUAUUGAAAACAAUCCAUGAAUUCUAUAAAAUAUCAGAAUUUUUCCAUAAUUUCAACACUUUUCAAUUUAAUCCCUAAAACAUGUUUUCCCCCCAUCUUGAACUAAAUUAAUAAUUUCAUUCAAUUUUGUAAUUUAAAUAAUAAAAUUAAUCCAUUUCAUGCAAUUUGGUCAUUUUUGACAUUUUUACAAAAUUGCCCAUAAAGUUUUACUUUUAUUCAAUUUAGUCCCUGAGCCUAAAACAUGCAAAUUAGUCAUGCUAGAUGAAUAUUCAAACAUAUUUUCCUCCUCCUCCUCUCCAUUCCACAUCCUUAGUGUAUAAAACACACUUGUAAGUAACAUUAUCUAUAAUUUUUAUUAUUUACUUUUAUGAAUAUUCAAGCUGUCCAUCUGUGUCAUAGUGACUAAAUUAUUUAUAUCUGGAGCUAUAGAAUUCCAAUUUAAGAUAAAAUAAUUUUCCCUAAAACUAGACUCAUAUAUAUUCUUACCAUAAAAUUUUUAGAAUUUUUGGUUUAGGAAAUAAGUAUAUUUUAUUCUUUAAAGUUACCCUUGUUCUGCUGUCUGACAGUUUUGACCCUUCUUCACUAAUAAUUAAUUAUCUCCUCGUAUAGAAUUCGAAUGAUGUUUCUGUUUAUUUCUAUUUAAAAUAGACUCAUUACGAAUUCUAAACAUAUAAAUUUAAGCUCAUAAUUAUUUUUAUUCAAGUUUUUAUGAUUUUCCAAAGUCAGAAUAGGGGAACCCGAAAUCAUUCUAACCUUAUCUCACAAAAUUCAUUAUAUCUCAAGAUUUACAAAUCCAUUGCUUACAUUGUUUCUUCUAUGAAAAACUAGACUCAAUAAUCUUUAAUUUUUUUUGUUUUUAUUCUUCUAAUUCGAUUUCUGUAAUUUAUGGUGAUUUUUCAAAAUUAGACUACUGCUACUGUCUAAAACUAUUUUAGUGUAAGAUAUUAAUUACCAUGUUUAUAACACCCUUAUUUUCUUUUUCUACACUAUUUCUCAUCACUUUCUCUUAUUUUCUCUUCACUAACAUAUCAAGAACAUAGGACCUUAUGUAAGAAAACUAUACUAUAACAUUAUUUCCAUGCUUUCUCAAUAAUAACAACUUAAAAAUAUAUUAAAAUCUUGAUGUACUUACCUUGUUUUAUUGAUUCCAAUCUUUAAUUUGAUUUUCUCUCUCCUCCAGCUUCUAUUCCUUGAAUUCAAUUUGACAUUCUAAAUCCCCAUAAUCUUCUUAACAUUUUUCUCUCUUGGUAGCUAUGGAAAUUCUUUUGAUUUCUAGGUGAAAAUAGUGAAUUUUUGGUAGAAGGAUCAAAUUGUAAAGAAAAGAAAACUUUCUUUCUUUUUUUCUCUUCUAACGUUUGCAUGCAUGGAAAGAUGAUGAGAAUUCUUCAUCAUUCCUUCCUUAUAUACUAAACAAAUAAUAAUAAAACAAUAAUAAAUAUCUCAUUAAAAUAUUAAUAAAAUAAUAUUUAUCUAAUUAAUUAAUUUAAAAUAUCAUCAACAUAAUCAUUACAUUCUAGAAUUCUCUCUCUUACUUAAUUGACCAUUUUGCCCUUCAUGAUCUUUUAGAAUUCCAUCCUUGAGUUAUCACUUAAUUUGGUAAAAUUGUCAUUUAGUCCCUAAUAAUUUUUCACCUAUUCAGUUUGGUCCUAAUUCAUCCAUUUUCCUUAGUUUCUAGAUCAUUCUACCCUUAAAAUAUUUGCACUAUUGGUCCUUCAACUUUUUCAUAUUUACACUUUAACCCCUCAAAAAUUGAGUAUUUACUCUUGUGCAACAAGACUUUUCUCAUCUUUACAAUUUAGUCAUUUCUUGAAUUAAUAUAUCAUAAUAUACUUCCCAAGGUUGACAUAACUCAAAAUUUUCUUUUUUUGCUACUUUAUUUUCUUAUUUUACUAUAUCGAGGAUAAUACUUACUGUAAAAAUUUUCGGGGUAUUACAUUGUUGGUUCAGGCUAGAUUUGUAAUGCCAAGUCUACAAAAAGAUGGGCCGUGUUGAGAAGGUUUGCAAAAACAAGGGCAAACCAAGACAAAAUCAACCCCAGCAGCCAAGUGUUGAGGCUCGAAUAGCAGAAGAAGGCAGUGAUCAUGAAGAGCAAGUUUUUAUAAUCUUUUGCUCAACUGUCAAAGAAAAAGUCACAAGUGGAUGGCUGAUAGAUAGUGGUUCCACAAACCACAUGAUCCCUGAUGCUGCCAUCUUCAAGUCAAUUGAUAGAAGCUUCAAAACAAAGGUGAAGGUUGGAAAUGUUUCACUUCAUCAAAGCAGAAGGCAAGGUAGAUGUGCUGAUAAACACUCCCAUAGGAAAGCUUGUUUCAAAUGUCCUAUUGGUGCCUGAAAUUGAUAGAAACCUACUCAAUAUAGCUCAAUUGCUAGAAAAGGGCUACUCAGUGGUGUUCAAAGGUAAGGAAUGCCAGACUACUGAUCCAAGUGGAUCCAAACUCAUGUCAGUGACCAUAGCUGAAAAAAGCUUUAUUGUUGACUAGAACAAAGACUUAAAUAGUGUCUACACAGCUAUUUCAGAUAAAUCCAAGCUAUCGCACAAAAGGCUUAGCCAUGCUAACUACAGAUCAAUGGCUUAGCUAACCAAAGAGGACCUGGUUGAAAACUUUACUGAUUCAGUUGAGAAAAAGGAGGCUUGUGAAGUAUGUCAGCUAGGAAACCAAAUCAGAAGUAUGUCAGCUAGGAAAGCAAGUCAGACUUCCAUUCCUUUCAAACAAAGCCUGGAGAGCUUCUGAAAGACUGCAACUUGUGCACACCGAUAUGUGUGGUUCCAUGAAAACUCAGUCUCUAAAUGGCAGCAGGUAUUUCAUCUUAUUCAUUUAUGAUUACUAAAGGCAUUGCUGGAUUUACUUCUUGAUGCAUAAGUCUGAGGUAGCCUCAAUGUUUUGAAAAUUCAAUGCUACAACAGAAAUAGAAUCAAGAUGCAAGCUUAAGACUCUGAGGUCUGAUAAUGGAACUGAGUACACAUCAGCUCAGUUUCAAUCCUUUUGUGAUGAAGCAGGCAUCAAACACCAACUCACCAACACCUACACACCUCAACAGAAUGGUGUUAGUGAAAGAAAGAACAGAAGUUUCAUGGAUAUGGUCAGAUACCUGUUGUUUAAAAAGAAUUUGCCCAAAACUUUGUGGGCUAAAGCAGUCAACACUGUUGUGUACGUCCAAAACAGGCUCCCAACUAAGGCUUUGGCAUAGAAAACUCCAUUCAAGACCUAUAUUGGUUCAAACUAUCACUGGCUCACCUGAGGGCCUUUGAAUGCAUAUGCUAUGCAUAUAUCCAGUAGUGAAAAGAGAUAAGUUGGCCAAGAAGGCUCAACCUGGCAUCCUGGUAGGCUAUAGCAAUCUAAAGAAAGGUUACAGAAUCUUGGAUCCCUCAUUCAACAAAGUGCUUGUAAGCAAAGAUGUAGUGUUUGAUGAGAAAUCAAGUUGGAAUUGGGAGAAGUAUGAACCAGAGAUAGUCUCUGAAGUUUUGUGACAGAUAAGACUGAACCUGAUCAAAAUGGUCUUGAAAUGGACAUUGAUGAUGAACCAGUCAAGGGCACUAGACCAUUGGCUGAGAUUUAUGAAAGAUCUCAAGUGGCUACAGUUGAAUCAAACUGUUUUGAAGAGGCUGAAGCUCAACAAGGCUAGAAACAGACAAUGGCUGAUGAAAUUAGUAUGAUUGAGAAGAAUCAGACCUGACAGCUAGUUGAGAGACCAGCAAAUAGGAAGGUCAUUGGGGUGAAAUGGGUGUUACAAGCUAAGCACAAUGCUGAUGGAAGUUUGAAAAAACUAAAAGUAAGGUUGGCUGUAAAAGAAUUUAGCCAAAAAUAUGGCAUAGACUACUUUAAAACCUUUGCAUCAGUGGCUAGACUUGAUACAAUUAGGCUGCUAGUUGCCUUAACUGUACAAAAUCAGUGGAAAAUACAUCAACUCAAUGUAAAAUCAGCAUUCCUCAAUGGUUUCCUUGAAGAAGAGAUUCAUGUUGAACAACCUUAGGGUUUUAAAGUGGCUGUUGAAGAGUCAAGGUGUACAAACUGAAGAAAGUCUUGUAUGGCUUAAAACAGGCACCAAGAGCCUGGUAUAGUAGGAUCAAUGGCUACUUAGCUAGCUUUGGAUUUGAAAGAAGCAUAAGUGAACCUAUCUUAUAUGUGAAGAAGCAAGGUAGUAAAACUCAACUGAUAAUGUCUUUAUAUGUUGAUGACCUGCUAGUGACAGGAGGAGAUCAAGCAAUGCUGACAGACUUCAAAUGCAAAAUGCAACAAGUGUUUAAGAUGUCUGAUUUAGGAAAAAAUGUCUUACUUCCUUAGUAUGGAAGUGACUCAAACACAACAUGGAAUCUUCCUAAGUCAGAAGGCUUUUACUUCUAAAAUUCUGAGCAAAUUCUCCAUGCAAAAUUGCAAGGCAACAAGUACACCAGUUGCCAUUGGAGAGAAACUAUCGAGCCAAGGUGACUUUGAGCAAGUUAGUGAAUCUAUCUAUAGGAGCUUGAUAGGUUGUUUGCUAUAUCUGACUGCCACUAGACCAGACAUUAUGUUUGUUGUGAGUUUACUUUCAAGAUUCAUGCAUUGCUGCAAUGAAAAACACCUUCAAACUACCAAAACAGUGCUCAGGUACAUCAAAGGUACACUGAGCUAUAGAAUGUUGUUUAGCAAAGCUGAAAGAGUGAAAUUGGUUGGUUAUGCUGAUAGUGAUUGGGAUGGUUCGAUAGAUUAUAUAAAGAGUAACUCAGGGUAUGUUUUUACUCUUGGUUCAGCCAUGUUCUAUUAGAGUUCAAAGAAGCAAUCUGUUGUUGCUCAAUCGACAGCAGAGGUAGAAUAUUGUCAGCUGCAAGAGCUGUCAACCAAGCUAUUUGGCUAAGGAAAAUCUUGGCUAACUUGAAUCUUCACCAAAGGGAAGCAACAAAGAUUAAAUGUGACAAUCAAUCUGCUGUUGCAAUUGCAAAGAAUCCAAUAUUUCAUGGAAGAACAAAGCACCUCAAGAUUAAAUUUCACUUUGUUAAGGAGAUGGAACAAGCUCAAGAAGUGAAACUGAUUCAUUGCAGUUCUGAGGAUCAGCUUGCUGACAUCUUGACAAGCCUCUUUGUGUGUCAAGGUUCACGGAUUUGAGAGCUAAGCUAGGAGUAUGCAGCAUGCAAGCCAAGGAAGAGUGUUGAAGUUGGCCUACAUGCAGCACAUGUAGCACAUGAAGCAGCCAAAAAAAGCAGAACAAGCUACUUGAUUAAUGUAUGUUGCAGUUGAAGCCAGUGUUGCUGAUUUAGUUGCUUCAAAUUGAUGUUUUGUAACUUAGUUUUAAUAGAACUAGGUUGGUAAUGUACCUUUGUUGACAUUUGAGCUAAUAAAUCAGCUUUACCAAGUGUGCAAGUAUAGGUUAUCAAGUUUCAAUAUAAUUAGUGGAUUUAGGUAAGAGUUUAGGUGAAAUUUGCUUAUUUUGAUCAGCUUAUGUCAGGUAUAUGUAUUGGCAUUAUGCCAUUCUUGAAGGUUAAUGAGAAAUACACAACUUCUUUUUCAUUCUUUUGGUUCAUCACUCAAGCAUUUUUUUUUCUUUUCUAAAGUCUUUAGCCCAAUUCUGUUUUAUUUGCUCAGCAAGGCAUUGAGCCUUCAGGCUCAAGUCUCUGUUAAACUCCUUCAAACUGAUUUUCUAAGUUCCAACAAGUUUUCUAGUUCAUCGAAAACAAAUUAUAAUAUUUUGAAUUUUUGAAGAUUAUUUGGUAGUGUCGAAACCAUUUUUAAAGGGGUUUGAAAAACAGGGUUUGACUUUUUGAAAAACGAAAAUGGGAGUCGCCACUAACCUUUUUAGGUGUGAUUGGAUCACCUUUAUAAAACAUUUUGGUCUACGAAAUUCAAGAAAAUAGGUUCGGGAGUCGGUUACGCACAAGGAAGGAUUAGCACCCUCGUAACGCCCAAAAUUGGUACCGAAUUGAUUAUUUAUUGUCCUAAUGUCAAAAAUUUGAAAAGAUUUUAAAAUUUGAACAAUUUAAAGUUGAAACUUGAGAUUCUUUUGUUCCGAAAGUAUACAAACAUCACAUCCAGCAUGUUAGGACACGAUGUUUUAAAUCCUCGUAACUAAAAUUAUCUCAUGAUUUUGAAAACUUAUUAAAAAGGAUAUUUGGUUAUUUAGUCAAACGAAAAAAAAUCGCAACCCAGCAUGUUAGGGCACUAUUUUCCGAAUUUCUAAACACCAAACAUUGCCUUAUUUAAGAAAAAAAUUUCAAUUAAAUGAAAUAUAUUUUUUAAAACAAUGAAUAAUAUAGAAUUUAAUAAAAAAAUAAUUUGAUAUAAUACUAAAAUUAUUAAAAAAUAAAAUAUAAAAGAGAAUUAAAAAAUCAAGGAGAUAGGGAUUAAAUAAAAAAGGUUGAAAUCGAAGAUGAACAAAGAAUAAAUAAGAACAAACCGUAGAAAAUAAGAACGCAAGAGGGAGAGAAAUUUGAGUGAAUGUUCUCAAGAAUUCUUAUUGCUUCCCAAAACUCAAGUGUGUUACAAUGAAGGGAGAGGCCUCUAUUUAUAGUUGAGCCUCCCCAAAUCCAACGGUACAGAUCAAUUACAUCAACGGUUAAGAUUAAAAGGUAUCUACAAAUUAAAUCUCUAAGAUUACAAAAUCAUAUCUUCUAAGAUUGCAUAUCAUAUCUAAGAUUGUAUCAUAUCUAAGAUUGCAUAUCAUAUCUAAGAUUGCAUAUCAUUGAAGAUUAGAUUUCCAUAUAAGUCAAGAUUGUAGAUGGACCUUAAAUCUUUUCAAGUAAUGGGCCAUUCCAAUCGGGCCAAAUUAUAUUUGUAAUUCUGGACUGAACUUGGACUUCGGUUUUUUUUUGGGUUUAUUAUAUUUUUGUUUUUGGACUUAUUUCUGAGCUCGGGCAAAAUUGAGUGUCUACAGGUAGUUUUUUAGAGGGAUAAAUUUUCAUUUUUUCAAAACUAUUAGAGAUCCAAGGGAUAUUUACAUUAAUUUGGUAUUUGAGUUUUUCAAAAUAUCUGAGUUGUGAAAUUCAAAUUGGAUCGAACUUGAAAAAUCGAGUUAUUGAUAAGAGUUGAUUCGAAAAAAAAAUUAAAUAAUUCAAUUCAUUUAACUCGAAAUUUGAAAAAAUAUCAAUUUUUUUAAUAUGACUUGAGUUUUACUCGCCCCUAAGUUCAUGCGUUCACCGCCAUAUUAUGGCUAGGAGUUGACUCUGCCAUCAGCCAAAAAAAAUAUUUGAAAAUAUUGAUGAACUUAAAAUAUAUAUAUACCCACAUGAAAACAUACCGCCAAGGAUGCCAAAAUAAAAACAAUAUGUUGCAGUACUGGCCACUUUGGUUUUCCAUACUAAAAGGAUAAGUGUAUUUUUCAUAUUAUCCUACUAACUAAUUUGAAUAAAGUAGUUGUGAAGAUGAAUGUGCUAAAUAUUCUAUUAAUUAGUAAUUUGAAAGUAAAUAUUUUGAAGUAAAAAAAUGAAUGUAAUUCAAUAAAACAAUAAAAUUUUGAUAAUAUUUCGACAACCAAUUGCAGAGUGCUCCUAAUAGUUCAUCGUCUACAGAAUGGGGUUUGGAGUCUGGACACUUCUGUUGGAAUUCUCUAGGGCGAACCUUCUUGUUAUAAGCACGCAUCAUUCACUUUUGGUACAUUUGACCAUGGCGACUAGCUUUUAGCCUUUUUUCUUCAAUUAAGUUCAGCUGAUCAUAUCGAGACUGGAUCCAUUCUGUUUCGUCUAAAUUUAGUUCUGACAGCACUCGUAGAAAGGGAAUUUCAACCUCAAUAGGCAGAACCACUUUCAUUCCAUAAACCAAAAAGAAAGGUGUUGCCCUGGUGGAGGUUCUGACUGACGUUCGGUAGGCGUAGAGGGCGAAUGGUAAUUUCUCAUGCCAAUCAUUAUAAGUCUCAGUCAUUUUUCCCACGAUUUUCUUGUUGUUUUUAUUGGCCGCUUCCACCGUGCCAUUUAUUUUUGGGCGAUAUGGUGACGAGUUAUGGUGUUUGAUCUUGAAUUGGCUACAAACAUUCGUUAUUGUGCUGUUGUUCAAGUUCAGUGCAUUGUCUGAUAUGAUCCUCUCAGGCAUCCUAUACCGACAUAUGAUCUCUUUCUUUAAGAACUUUCUGACUGCGAAUUUCAUGAUGUUGGUGUAAGAAGUGGCCUCUACCCACUUAGUGAAGUAAUCGAUGACCACAAAAAUGAAUCGGUGUCCGUUAGACACCUUCGGCGAGAUCGACUCGAUGACAUCCAUGCCCCACAUGGAGAAAGGCCAUGGAGAAUUCACGACAUGAAGAGAUGAAGGAGGUACAUGAAUUUUAUCUCCGUAAUUUGGCAUUUAUGGCACUUUUUGGCAUAGCUGAUACAAUCCCCUUCCAUAGUGGACCAAUAAUAUCUGAAUCUCAUGAUUUGUCUGGCCAUUGUGAAACCAUUAGCGUGUGUUCCACAGACACCCUCAUGGAUCUCUUCCAAGAUUUACUUCGCCCCAACAGCGUCCACACACCUUAGCAGUACCUGAUCCUUCCUUCUUUUAUAUAGGAUCUUUCCAUCUAAGACAUAGUCACUGGCUAGCCUUCUCAAUGUCCUUUUAUCAUUCUCCGUCGCUUGGUCUGGGUAUUCACGAUUCCUUACAUAUCGCAAUAUAUCAUGAUACCAAGGGUUAUUUUCCUUUUCUUCUUCUUCCUCGAUGUUGUAACAAUGGGCCGGAGUCUCAUAGAUAUUCAUCUGGAUAGGCUUCACAUCCUCUUGUUUGUUCACUUUGAUCAUAGAAGCUAAAGUCCCCAAGGCAUCAGCCAUCUGGUUUUCAUUUCGUGGGAGGUAGCAGAAAGUGAUAUCGUCGAACUCCUCAAUUAGUUCCAGAACCAGCCUUCGGUAAUUGAUCAACUUAGGGUCUCUUGUCUCCCAUUCACCUUUGAGCUGAGAUCACUAAUGCAGAGUCCCCAUAUACUUCAAGCACAUUGAUUUUACGUUCAAUGGCCGCACGGAUACCCAUGAUGCACGCUUCAUACUAUGUCAUGUUAUUUGUGAAAUCAAAAUCCAAUUUACUAGUAAAGGGGUAAUGAUUUCCAUUCGGGGAUACCAGAACUGCCCCGAUUCCGUUACCCACAGCAUUUAAGGCUCUGUCAAAAUUCAGUCUCCAAGGAUGAUCUUCUUGAGAGUCUUCUUCAGUGGUUGCAACAUACAUUAGAUCUUCAUUUGAGAAAUCAAAGCUCAAAGGCUCAUAAUCUUCUAGAGCCCUACUGGCUAAAAAAUUUGCUAUUGCACUCCCUUUUAUAGCCUUCUGGUUCACGUAGACUAUGUCAAAUUUAGAAAGUAAAAUUUGCUAAUGAGCCAUUUUCCGUUCAAAGCAUUUGACUCCAUCAUGUACUUCAGAGGGUCUAGUUUUGAGAUGAGCCAAGUCGUGUGGUACAGCAUGUAUUGUCUCAGUCUUCGAGUUGUCCAAAUCAAAGCACAACACAAUUUCUUGAUCGACGAAUAUCUUGCCUCACAUUCAGUGAAUUUCUUAUUGAGAUAGUAUAUCGUUUUUUCUUUUCUUCCUGACUCAUCGUGUUGGCCUAACACACAUCUCUUGGAGUUUUCGAACACUGCCAAAUACAGUAUCGAUGGCCUAUCUAGGCAAGGUGGCAUCAGCACUGGGGCAUUGGACAGGUAAUGUUUGACCUUAUCAAAAGUUUUCUUGCACUCCUCAUCCCAUACACCUGGGUUGUGUUUCCUAAGGAGACGGAAUACCGGGUCAUAUUUGUUGGAGUUCAAAGAAGCAAUUUGUUGUUGCUAAUUGACAGUAGAGGUAGAAUAUGUGUUAGCUGCAGGAGCUGUCAACCAAGCCAUUUGGCUAAGGAAAAUCUUGGCUGACUUGAAUCUUCACCAAAAGGAAGCAAUAGAGAUUCAAUGUGACAAUCAAUCUGCUAUUGCAAUGGCAAAGAAUCCAGUGUUUCAUGGAAGAACAAAGCACUUCAAGAUUAAAUUUCACUUUGUUAAGGAGAUGGAACAAGAUCAAGAAGUGAAAUUGAUUCAUUGCAGUUCUGAGGAUCAGCUUGCUGACAUCUUGACAAAGCCUCUUUGUGUGUCAAGGUUCAUGGAUUUGAGAGCUAAGUUUGGAGUAUGCACAUGCAAGCCAAGGAGGAGUGUUUAAGUUGGCCUACAUGCAGCACAUGUAGCACAUGAAGCACAUGAAGCAGCCAAAAAAAGCAGAACAAGUUGCUCAAUCAGUGUAUGUUGUAGUUUUAGUCACUUCAAAUUGAUGUUUUGUAACUUAGUUUGAAUAGAACUAGGUUGGUAAUGUACCUUUGUUGACAUUUGAGCUGAUAAAUCAACUUUACCAAGUAUGCAAGUAUAGGUUAUCAAGUUUCAAUGUAAUUAGUGGAGUUAGGUAAGAGUUUAAGUGAAAUUAGCUUAUUUUGAUAAUCUUAUGUAUGGUAUAUGUAUUGGCAUUAUGCCAUUCUUGAAGGUUAAUAAGAAAUACACAACUUCUUUUUCAUUCUUCUGGUUCAUCGCUCAAGCAUUUUUUUUUCUUUUUAAAGUAUUUAGCCCAAUUCUACUUUGUUUACUCAGCAAGACAUUGAGCCUUCAAGCUCAAGCCUCUGUUAAACUCCUUCAAACUAAUUUUCUAAGUUCCAACAAGUUUUCUAGUUCAUCGAAUGCAAAUUAUAAUAUUUUGAAUUUUUGAAGAUUAUUUGGUACUUUUUUAGAGGGAUUAAUUUACAUUUUUUUUUCAAAACUAUUAGAGAUCCAAGAGAUAUUUACAUUAAUUUGGUAUUUGAGUUUUUCAAAAUAUCUGAGUUGUGAAAUUCAAAUUGGAUCGAACUUGAAAAAUCGAGUUAUUGAUAAGAGUUGAUUCGAAAAAAAUUAAAUAAUUCAAUUCAUUUAACUCGAAAUUCGAAAAAAAUAUCAAUCUUUUUAAUAUGACUUGAGUUUUACUCGCCCCUAAGUUCACGCGUUCACUGCCAUAUUAUGGCUAGGAGUUGACUCUGCCAUCAGCCAAAAAAAAUAUUUGAAAAUAUUGAUGAACUUAAAAUAUAUAUAUACCCACAUGAAAACAUACCGCCAAGGAUGCCAGAAUAAAAACAAUAUGUUGCAGUACUGGCCACUUUGGUUUUCCAUACUAAAAGGAUAAGUGUAAUUUUCAUAUUAUUCUACUAACUAAUCUGAAUAAAGUAGUUGUGAAGAUGAAUAUGCUAAAUAUUCUAUUAAUUAGUAAUUUGAUAGUAAAUAUUUUGAAGUAACAAAUAUGAAUGUAAUUCAAUGAAACAAGAAAAUUCCGAUUAUUUUUCUCCAACCAAUUGCAGAGUGCUCCUAAUAGUUCAUCGUCUACAGAAUGGGGUCUGGAGUCUGGACACUUCUGUUGGAAUUCAUGGAUUUUACUGAGCUUAAUGUGGGUUGUUAAUUGCCGGUGAUGCUACAGCUAGACCAAACUUAAUUUACCCCUUCGAUGACUUAAUGUGGAUUUUACAUGGGCCUUAUUUAAUGUUCUUUACCAUGUAAAUGAGCCUCAUGGAAAUCUUCAUCCUUAUCCUCAUAAAAAUGUGAAGAGAUUGAAUCUAUUAAAGAAGUUGAAUGCAAGAUGGGUUAAAAGAGAAUGUUUUCUCUCUUCAAAGAUGUGAACAGUGGCUAUUUUCAAGGAGGUCUUUUCUGAUUAACUUGGGAGUGCAUUAAUCAAAUGAUUAGAGGUUAUCUAGGUUACUUUGUAGUUAGGAAACAUAUAAAUAGGCAGUGCAUCGCAUAAUCAAUGGUGUUGGUUUUGUAUUGGGUAGAGAGUUGCAAAUUGUUAUUUUGUCUAAGUAAGAAUAGACAACCUGAUUUUUUCCCCGCCUGAUACUUGCGUACUAAAAUAUCCACUCUUUUUAUUAAUAUAUAUUUAAUGGUCAAACUUGAAUUCUUUUCUUCACAAUCAAAUUUAAUUUAUUACUAUGUGUCUUUAUUAAAUUUUUAAAUAAUUAAUUAAAGACACGUGACAAUAAGUUAAGUUCAUUUGCAAAAAAAAAAAAUCUACAAAUUAUAUUAUUUCAUAAAAUUGGGUAUUUUAAUCAAAUCAAUUCAAUUGUUUUAUUUUUCUCUUAAAAUACUUACCACAAAAAACUAUCAAUUUUGUUUUAAUAUUUUUAUAAUAAAAAAUAGAAACUAUGCAUAUAAUACAUUUAAUAUUAAUCUAUUUAUUAUAUUUCAAAUAUUAUAUUCUUUAAAAUCAUUUUUAUUUUCACACGCCAAAUGAGGUAAUUUUUAAAUUUAUUAGAACAUGCACAUUUCUCAUGCAUUGUAAAAUCAAAUUAAAUUUAUAUACGAAAUAAUUUUUUUUUGCUUGAAUUUGAUUAUAAUAUGUAAAUUGGUACUUAUUUUUUUCACAUGAGUACUCGAAUUUGGCUUUUAUCUCACAUUUUUUUUUUAAAAUUUUUGUAAUCUUGAUAAAAUAAGAUAAUGUGGACGAAUUAGGUUUAGAUACAUGACACACAUGUCAUGUCAUAUACUUGCCAUGUAUAUUAACAAAGGUACAAAAUUGGACUAAAAUAUGUGAUGGAAGUUAAAUUUAGGUAUCAAUGUGAACACAAAAUGUAUAGGUACCAAUUUAAAAAUUGAAGUCAAAUUGAAAUACGAAAAAAUACAUUUACCCUAUUUAUUUUAAUGUAAGACAUAUCGGCUUGCUAUGAUUCACAAAACCAUAUUAAAAUUUCCAUUUAACAUAAUAUUUAUAUUAAUUUAUGAUUGGUGAGAUGAUUCAAUUAUUAAAAAUAAAUAAAGUAGGAGAAAAAAAUAAAAUGAAUUAUUAUAAUAUAUAUAUAUAACACUCAUGGAGUACUGGACUAAAUCAUGAAACAAUAUUAAAUAUAAUUAAAACAUGCUAUAUUACAAAUAAUAAAAUUAUUACGUCUCAAAUACACAAAUAUGUCAAAAUUUACAUACAACGAUUUAUUAACACGUAAAAGUAUUUUAUAUAAAUGUAUAAAACGUACGCAAAAAUGAGGAGCAUUUAUUUUUUUAGUUGAAUUGGUAUAACACAUUAUGUAAAAUACAUUGUGAAUUAAAGCAUAAUACAAACACAAUAUCAAAAGAUAAAUCAUUUUUUAAAUUUGAUGAUUAUGAAUAAGUAUGUAAAAUAUAAUAUGAUACAAAAUAACUUGAGAGGAAAGAGGAAUAAAGAAUAGCAUUGCCUUUGAGGUUUUAAAAUAUUCAAGUUUUAGAUUCAAUUUUCUAGUUUUCUGAGCUUGAUUUUAGAUUAGAUUUCUUUUUUCAGUAUGUACUAGUGAACUUUUGAUGGUCAAUUUAAUUUACUUCAAAGAGCUCUUGCACAUACAUAAUAAUAGAUUAUGAUUAUACUUUAAAUUUCAUAAGAAAAAAAGGGAAAUAGAUAGUUGAAAAAUGAUAAAACCAAAAGAUAAAGUUAUAAACAAUUCAUCUCCAUAAAUAUAACAGCUUUUAUUCAAAAUGUAAAAAUUUGUUGGGGAUUUGGGACACUUUAUCAGGAUGAAGUAUGAACUUCAGUCUGGAACUUAAACAACAAUGUAAUGAAUCCGGAUGAAGAAUGAAGAAAACUUGAAAAAUUCAAGUCAAGAGAUUUGAGCUUGAAAAACAGAAUGAAAUUGAAGGUAAAGAAAAUAAGCAAAGGAAAUGGAGAGGAUAUUGAAUGAAAAAGAUGAUGAUUUUUCAUUAAUUAAACAUUGGCAAAUUGCCAUUACAUAUACCAAACAUGAGAUGAUCAUUACAAGUCAAAAUGCUACCUAAACAUUUACCUAACACCACUUAAAACAUUGAAAAUUGCUAAACUAGCUUGCACAAGUUGCUUUGCUGAAUUUUCAGUCAAUCAACAUCUAAAAAUACAUCAAAAGAUUUACCAACUAAGUUCUAAAAGAACUAAGUUACAAACUAUGAACUUAAAGUAACCAAAAUGAGUUGAAAUCGGACAGCAUCAGUAAGUUUCUCCUUCUGUCUAUUGGUCUCAAGCUGCAUGGCCACCUUUUCUGGUUCAAGAUGCAUACUUCACCCGGUAAUAAUACAACAGUUUGAUCUCUUUUCUUUACAGCUGGAUGCAUGGCUCGGGCUGCUUCAUGACACUUUGGCUUCUUCAGAUGCUGCAUGCAAGCCAACUUCAACAAAAUUAACAAAAUAUUCAUACUAUCCAACUUAACACACUAAAACAAUUAGGAGAGGAAAUGAAAUCACAACUUUUUUUUCUAAAACAAUACCUGCCAAAUUUAUUGAAAUCUUCAUUAUAGCUAAACACAUUGCCUGAAAAUGUGAUAAGCAAGAAAAUUGCCCACAUUUGAGUAGCGACAGGUGGUGAUGCAUUUCCCAAUUAGAGAAAACCUCGCUCUUCACCAGUCAGGAUUUAUGUAGAGGACAACAAAAAUUGUCAACGCCACAGCUACAUAAGAAACCAAAAAGCUCACACAAAAAUCAUAAGUAUCUAGAAAACCAUCUUCUCCUUUAUCUUCUGGUAGAGUUGAUAUCGUUGAUGGUGGUUUGGAACAACUUUUAUGCAGUAUAGCUCCACAAAGAAAAGGGUUUCCCUCGUAACUGCUUUCAAUAAAGGUCUCAAAUUGAGCUUUUGGUUCGAGAAUACUACCUGACAAGUUGUUGUAUGCCACGCUAAAAGCCUCCAAAGAGUUCAACUCUACCAACUGAUUGGGGAUUUCACCGCUCAAAUUGUUGUAAGAAAGGUCCAAACUCUCAAUUUGAUGAAGUUUUGAGAAUGACGAGGGUAUAACUCCAGUCAGCUUAUUGUGCGACAAGUUUAAAGAAUAGAUAAAUCAAUCCUGGUCAUAUAUGCAAGGAUGAUGCCUCCGUAUGAAUAGAACCCACUCUUUGUUGUGAACUCUAUUGCUUCUUCUAAGUAGCUGGAAGGAUAGGAAUAAACGCCGUGAAGUCGACCCAAUUUGUUCAUUAAUCCAUCCUCUGUUAAACUUGGCCUAUAUUCCCCACGAAAUAGAAUCUUAUUUCCAUCCAUUGAAAGGGUUAAAUUUCCCAAACAAGAAGGUAUAAUACCAGAAAACAUAUUUUGAGAAAGAUCUAUAAUGCUUAAAUAAUGAAACUUGCAUAACUGAACUGGAACUUCGCCAUGAAAAUGAUUAUCUUUCAAGAGAAGAACACUCAAUGUACAAAGUGUGCCAAUCCAUUUUGGAAUACUACCAGUCAAGUUGUUUCCUCUAAGAUCUAAUGUAACCAGUGAAGAGAUAUUAUAAAAAGCAAUUGGUAGAGGGCCACUUAGUCUAUUCCCUUGCAGGUGGACAUGCUUUAUGUUCAGGGUAUUAAAGCAGGACGGUAUAGAGCCAAAUAAAUUGUUUUCGGAGAGAUCCAAAAAUUCCAAGUCAUUUAAGUUGCAAAAUUCCAUUGGAAUAGAACCCUUCAAACCAUUUUGGGACAAAGCUAAUCCCUUCAAAAAGGACACAUUCCCCAUCCAUCUUGGGAGGUUUCUAUAAAACUUGUUAUUUCCGAGAUUGAUUUCCCUUAGUGAAGUUGGAAACUCAGAAAUAGUGACAUCAACAUUUGCCAUCUCUCCAGAAAAAUUAUUUCCAUCCAAAUAUAAAUUUGACAACCCAUUUGCAUUGAGAAUCACAGGAAGCACAUGUCCACCGAGAUUGUUGUUUGAUAGUCUCAAAAUGGUCAAUGAGCUUUUUGUGAUUAGCUCUUCAGGUACUCUUCCGGACAAUUGAUUGUUUGAUAAAUCUAAAAUCGAUAAAUCCUUCAUGCCACUCAAACAAGGAGGGAUAUCACCUUCGAAGGCAUUCUUGGAUAACAAUAAUUGCCUCAAUUGUGGAAAAGGUGAACAGACAUUGGUUGGAAUCUGACCUUGCAAUUUGUUUUGGGAUAUGUCAAUUAAAGACACAUUAGAAUUAGGAGCUGACGGUGAUGAGAGAGGACCAGUAAAAGAAUUGCCCAUCAAGAUGAGAUCUUCUAACUUUGUGUUGUUUUCUAACAAGCAAGUUGGUGUUGUUCCAAUAGGGUCGGAAGCGUGUAAAUUAUUGUACUAAAAAAUCACACAAAGUUCAAUUCCCAGGGAAGAGAGGUGGAUCACAUGGAUCUCUUAAAUACCAAGUCUUUCCUUAGACAGAAUAUCCCUUCUAUAGUAAUUUAAUAGCACAAUUAAAUACUACUAUUAUACCCUCAAAUAUUGAAAGAAAAAUAGGACAAGAAAGAACACAAGAGUUUUAACGAGGUUCGGUAAAUUAUACCUACGUCCUCGGGCACUAACACCAGAUGAUAACUUUACUAUCUCCAAAGUAUUACAAACAAAUAGAAUUCCUUAAGAAUUCUCAAAUGGGAGAAGAGAGAAAACUAAGAGAGAAAGAUUGGUUGGGAUGGUUGAAAUGAGAAAUGGUUAGGCCUAUUUAUAGUUGAGGUUCAGGGACUAACUUGCAAAUGGCCUAAAAAAUUAGGGACCAAAAUUGCAAUUAUCCCAUUCAACUUUAAACAGCUUGCCUAUCACUUUUUUUCUUUCGGUGCCACUUGCACCUUCCAUUUUUGACUUUUCAACAAUCUCCAUCUUGAAGAUUUGAUUAGGAUAAUCACAUCUUCACACACUUCCUUCAACUCCCCAAAUUCGAUAAAGCUAUCUUUUGUAGUGCCUCCAAAUGCGCUCUCGAGCGCCAUACACCUAAAGGUGCUCAAAUUCUCAGGAUGUUAAUCAAGUUCAAACAAUGAUUAAACUUGAUUGUUGUUACCACCUUGGUCAUCAUAUCUGCGGGAUUAUCUGCUGUCGGAAUCUUCUGAAGUAGAAUUUUUCCUUUUUCAAAGACUUCCCGCACAAAGUGAUAUCUUACGUCGAUAUGCUUGGUUCUUGAAUGAUAGACUUGAUUUUUCGCUAAAUGAAUAGCACUCUGACUGUCACAAUAUAAACUUAUGUGACUUUGAACAACUCCUAAGUCUUUCAACAAUCCAUUAAGCCAAAUAGCCUCCUUAACAGCUUCAGUAACUGCCAUAUAUUCUGCCUCUGUAGUAGACACAGCUACUGUAGACUGUAAGGUAGACUUCCAACUCACUGGGGCUUUCGCAAGAGUAAACAGAUACCCCGUAGUUGAAUGACGUUUAUCUAAAUCACCAGCAAAUUCGGAAUCAACAUAUCCAACUACAAACUGACCAAGUGCUUCAUCCUGUUCAAAAAUUAAACCAACAUCUACGGUUUUUCGAAGAUACCGUAGAAUCCAUUUCACAGCUUGCCAAUGUCCUUUUCCAGGAUCAUGCAUAUACCUGCUCACAACUCCAACAGCUUGUGAAAUGUCAGGCCUCGUACACACCAUCGCAUACAUCAAACUCCCAACUGCAUUAGCAUAUGGGACUUUCGCCAUAUAUUCUCUUUCUUCUUCAGUUUUCGGAGAUAAUUGAGCACUAAGUUUCAAAUGAGAAGCAAGUGGGGUACUUACAUGUUUUGUGUUUUCAUUUACACCAAAACAUUGUAAUACCUUUUUCAGAUAUUGCUUCUGAUUUAAACAGAGCUUGCCUCUCGGUCUAUCUCUACUUAUCUCCAUACCGAGAAUCUUCUUGGCCUUACCUAGAUCUUUCAUCUCGAACUCUUGAUUCAACUGAGCCUUCAGCUUAUCUAUCUCAUUUUGGCUCUUCGAAGCGAUUAACAUAUCAUCAACAUACAAGAGUAGAUAAAUGAAAGAUCCGUCAUGCAGCUUCUGCAAAUAUACACAAUUGUCAUAUUUGCUUCUUGUGUACUUCUGCCUUCUCAUAAAGCUAUCAAAUCGCUUGUACCACUGCCUCAGGGAUUGCUUCAAUCCAUAUAGCGAUUUGUUCAGCUUACAAACCCAAUUUCUACCACCAGCAUCUGUGUAUCCUUCGGGCUGAGUCAUAUAGAUCUCCUCUUCUAACUCACCAUGCAAGAAAGUCGUCUUAACAUCAAGUUGAGCUAGCUCCAAAUUCAACUGUGCUACCAAGGCCAACAAAAUUCUAAUGGAGGAAUGCUUCACAACAAGGGAAAAUACAUCAUUGUAGUCAAUUCCCUCCUUCUAAGCGUAGCCUUUAGCUACCAAUCUUACCUUGUAACGAAUAUCCUUCUUGCUAGGAGAUCCAUCUUUCUUUGCGAAUACCCACUUGCAUCCGAUUGCCCUUUUACCUUUCGGUAAUUGCGCCAACUCCCAAGUAUUGUUCUUCCGGAGAGACUGCAUUUCUUCAUCCAUGGCGCUUUUCCAUUUAUCACUUUCUAAGCUUUGCAUUGCUUCUUGAUAAGUGAUAGGAAUAUCAUCAACAACGGGAAGGGCGUAGGCCACCAUAUCAGUAAAUCGAGCAGGUUUACGAAUUUCUCUCCGUGGCCUUGCAACUGCAACUGGUUCUGGUGUACUUAGUGGUUCUUGGGUCAGAACCUCUUCAACCUCUAAUUCCUCCAUUGUGACUGGAGAAUUAGACUUAUUAACUGGGCAAAUCCCCAUCUGCUCAAACUCCACCUGUUUUGGAGUACACUCCACCUGCUGUGGAGUAUUGCUCGUCUGAAUAUCUUUAUCUGCUACCUUUUUCAAUGUGGCAGAUUCAUCAAAGGUAACAUCUCUGCUACAGAUCAUUUUCUUUGUGCUUAAACACCAAAGACGAAAUCCCUUCACUCCAGAAGUGAUUCCCAUAAAGAGAGCUUUCUUUUCCCUCAGAUCUAACUUUGACUCCUUCACAUGGUAAUAUGCAGUGGUUCCAAACACAUGUAAGGAAUCAUAAUCUGUAGCCGGUUUUCCAGACCAUACCUCCAUAGGAGUUUUUCUUUCUAAUGCAGAUGAUGGCAAACGAUUAAUAAGAUGGCCAGCGUAUGUCACAGCCUCAACCCAAAAUUGCUUGCCCAACCCAGCAUUGGACAACAUACAUCAAACUUUCUCAAGCAAUGUUCGAUUCAUACGCUUUGCCAAUCCAUUCUGAUGUGGUGUAUCCCUAACUGUGAAGUGUCGAACAAUACCAUACUCUUGGCACACAUCGAAGAACGGAUCACUUUUAUAUUCCCCUCCAUUGUCCGUCCUAAGCCGCUUGAUUUUCUUGCCAGUCUGGUUUUCGAUCAUAGUUUUCCGUUUAAGAAAAACUCUAAGCACUUCAUCCUUAGUUCUCAUGGUAUACACCCAAACUCUUCUGGAAAAGUCAUCAACAAAAGUAACAAAGUAGUGUUUUCCUCCCAAUGAAGGUGUCUUGGAAGGCCCCCACACAUCUGAGUGAACAUAUUCCAAAAUACCUUUUGUAUUAUAGAUAGCAGUACCGAAUUUCACUCUCUUUUUCUUUCCCAGAACACAAUGCUCACAAAAUUUUAAUUUGUAAGCCUUUGCACCUUUCAACAAUCCUUGCUUUGCCAGAAUUUGCAAGGAUUUUUCGCUGGCAUGUCCCAACUUCAUAUGCCACAACUACAUUGAGUCCAAUUCUUUGUUACUGGAAGCUGUAGCGACUGCUCCAAUAACUGUACUACCUUGGUAGUAAUACAAGUUAUUUUUCCUGAUGCCCUUCAAUAUCACAAGUGCGCCAGAUGUCACUUUCAAAAUCCCAUCUCUCAUAGUAACAACUGAACCAUUGGAUUCCAAGGCUCCCAAUGAGAUGAGAUUUUUCUUCAAACUGGGCACGUACCGAACAUCAGUCAGAAUUCUGGUUGAUCCAUCUUAAUUCUUUAAUUGGAUUGAACCUAUCCCAACAGUUUUACAGGCAUUGUCAUUGCCCAUAUAAACAACUCCUCCAUUUAGUUCUACUAAAUCAGAGAACCACUCCCGGUUAGGGGCAUAUGAUAGGUACAACCCGAAUCCAAUAUCCACUCAUCUGAAUGGAACGACGAUGAUGAUGUAACCAGUGAUAGUUCAGAGUCACUAGUAUCAUGCUUAGCAACACAAGCAUCUACAGCAGCUUUUCCCUUGUUCUUCAGCUUUGGACAAUUUUUCUUCCAGUGGUCUUUCUCAUGACAAAAAGCACAUUCAUCUUUCCCGAGUCUGGACUUUGACUUUGAUCUCCCCUUUUGAGUUUUCUUCCAAGUGUAUGAACGACCUCGGACUACUAAAGCUUCUGUAUCUCUGAUUGAGUUUUUUUGUUUGUCCUUCUUUCUCUGUUCAUAACUGUAUAAGGCCGCACAGACUUCGCUCAGAGAUAUAUCACUCCUGCCAUGAAGUAGAGUAGUUUCUAGGAACUCAAACUCCUCAGGAAGUGACCCCAACAGCAUCAAAGCCAAAUCUUUAUCUUUGAAUGUCUCAUCCAUAUUCAGCAAAUCAGUGACUAACUGAUUAAAUUUGGUGAUGUGAUCAUUCAUUGUGGUACUUGGGACGUAUGUGAAGCGAAACAGUCUUUUCUUCAAGUGGAGCUUAUUUUGACUAUUUUUCUUCAAAAAAUUUUCUUCAAGUGCCACCCACAACUUAUUUGCAGAAGUCUCCUUUGAAAAAGCAUACCUCUGCUCUCGAGAAAGGCAUGAUCAAAUUGUGCCACAUGCCAACCGAUUGAUCGCCUUCCAAUCUUUCUCCUGUACAUCAUCUGGUUUCUCUUCAUCAAUGGCAAUGUCUAGACCCUGCUGAAAAAGGGCAUCUAGAACCUCACUUUGCCACAUACCAAAAUGGCCUGUGCCAUCAAAGAUCUCCACGGCCAGUCUUGCAUUUGCAAUUGUCGGUCUUGUCCACAUGGACGAUGUUGAAGCUCCUACACCGACCGUUUUCUCCAUAAUCUUUCAAUAUACCUAAGGAAAUCUUUUCUGAUGUGGAAGAUCAGUUUAAACUGCAACCACAGAGCAUACUACGAUUAACCUUCGGCUCUGAUACCACUUGUUGUUCCAAUAGGGUCGGAAGCGUGUAAAUUAUUGUACUAAAAAAUCACACAAAGUUCAAUUCCCAGGGAAGAGAGGUGGAUCACAUGGAUCUCUUAAAUACCAAGUCUUUCCUUAGACAGAAUAUCCCUUCUAUAGUAAUUUAAUAGCACAAUUAAAUACUACUAUUAUACCCUCAAAUAUUGAAAGAAAAAUAGGACAAGAAAGAACACAAGAGUUUUAACGAGGUUCGGUAAAUUAUACCUACGUCCUCGGGCACUAACACCAGAUGAUAACUUUACUAUCUCCAAAGUAUUACAAACAAAUAGAAUUCCUUAAGAAUUCUCAAAUGGGAGAAGAGAGAAAACUAAGAGAGAAAGAUUGGUUGGGAUGGUUGAAAUGAGAAAUGGUUAGGCCUAUUUAUAGUUGAGGUUCAGGGACUAACUUGCAAAUGGCCUAAAAAAUUAGGGACCAAAAUUGCAAUUAUCCCAUUCAACUUUAAACAGCUUGCCUAUCACUUUUUUUCUUUCGGUGCCACUUGCACCUCCCAUUUUUGACUUUUCAACAGUUGGGACUGUGCCGCUGAAAUUGUUUUGAGAAAGAUCAACAUAUGUCAAGUCAUAUUGGUAGUAAAGGAAGGUAGGAAGUUCUAGAUUGAGUUGUUGAGAUGUAAUGCACUUUGGCAAACUGAUGAUUGUCAAUUGAAACUUUGGGACUGAGGUAUAAAAGGAAGUUUCCAUUACCAUCUUGUUUUCACCACUCAAAAGAACUUUGAGGUUUGAAAGGUUUGCAAAUGGUGCGAAUGACAGUGGAAUUUGAAAAUGGUUUCCUGAAAUAUAUAACUCCCGAAGAGAUGUCAAGUUACUGAAACAAUGAGGAAGCCUCCCCUCAAGUGCAUUGUCAC